Molecule: ribosomal RNA, 236 nt
Filed under: uncultured fungus
Lineage: Eukaryota; Fungi
Description: partial 18S ribosomal RNA
Rfam family: Eukaryotic small subunit ribosomal RNA
Source: RNAcentral
AAGAUUAAGCCAUGCAUGUCUAAGUAUAAGCAAUUUAUACAGUGAAACUGCGAAUGGCUCAUUAAAUCAGUUAUCGUUUAUUUGAUAGUUCCUUUACUACAUGGUAUAACUGUGGUAAUUCUAGAGCUAAUACAUGCUUAAAAUCUCGACCCUUUGGAAGAGAUGUAUUUAUUAGAUAAAAACCAAUGCGGAGCAAUCCGGUUUUUGGUGAAUCAUAAUAACUUAACGGAUCGCAU